RNAcentral lists this transfer RNA (75 nucleotides) under Burkholderiales bacterium PBB2. RNAcentral describes it as "tRNA-Glu". It matches the Rfam family "tRNA". Rfam says of the family: Transfer RNA (tRNA) molecules are approximately 80 nucleotides in length. Their secondary structure includes four short double-helical elements and three loops (D, anti-codon, and T loops). RNAcentral also lists the same sequence under 4 other names. Lineage: Bacteria; Pseudomonadati; Pseudomonadota; Betaproteobacteria; Burkholderiales. The record is from RNAcentral.
GUCCCGUUGGACUUCCGGUGAGGUCCUCGGCCCUUCAAGCCGAAGAGGCGGGUUCAACUCCCGCACGGGAUGCCA